UACAGAGGUCUCAAGCGUUGUUCGGAUUCACUGGGCUUAAAGGGCGCGUAGGCGGGUCGGCAAGUCAGGGGUGAAAGCCCGCGGCUCAACCGCGGAAGUGCCUUUGAUACUGCCGGUCUUGAGGGAGGCAGGGGAGCGCGGAACUUCCGGUGGAGCGGUGAAAUGCGUAGAUAUCGGAAGGAACACCGGUGGCGAAAGCGGCGCUCUGGUCCUCUUCUGACGCUGAGGCGCGAAAGCCAGGGGAGCAAACGGG
Molecule: ribosomal RNA, 253 nt
Filed under: uncultured bacterium
Lineage: Bacteria
Description: partial 16S ribosomal RNA
Rfam family: Bacterial small subunit ribosomal RNA
Source: RNAcentral